AUCUUCACACGUCUAUUGACAUUCAUUCACAUUUCCUUUGGGUUACUGUUUAAAAACAUGAACGUACUUCAGAUGUUAUUUCUCAUUGCCUAUCCUCUUUUGCUGUGAUGCGUCGGCCUUCUCAGUUGAAAACUGACAAUGGCCCAGCUUAUAUUAGUAAGGAAUUUCAAACAUUUUGCAAGAAAUGGAAUAUUACUUUAGUGCAUGGAAUUCCUUACAACUCUCAGGGUCAAGCUAUAGUUAAGCGAGCUCAUCGUACUUUUAAGGCAUUGCUUCAAAAACAAUUACAAACUGAGUCUGGUCCUUACCAUCUGCGAAAGAUUCAAAAUCUCAUUGCUGUAGCAUUAUAUACUUGGAAUUAUUUAACCUUUUUAGAUUCUCUUGCAGACUCACCUGUUAAUUUGCAUUUUCAAACUACUGAAUCUUUAGCAAGGCCUUUGGUAAAGUAUCGCCAAGCUACAGAUCCAACCUGGAAACGCCCUACACUGCUGAUCACCUGGGGUUGUGGUUAUGCUGCCAUGGAAGAUCCUUCUACUGGACAAGCAGUGUGGGUUCCAGCGCGUUGUGUUUGUUUGUAUCAUGGCAUGGCAUCAGGGCCUUCACAACCUGAUUCUGGAUUUCAAUCUUCAUCUGAACACAGAAGUCCGGCUUCCAAGGUUGAAGCGCCCGCAACCCAUCACUUGGGGCCAGGUUAAAUCUACUACAUAUCAAGCUCAACAACAACUGCAACAGGCCUCAUUACCUCAGACUCCUGAAAAUCUUGUUGCUGCUGUUUUUGCUAUUAUUACUGCUAAUUCUGUUACAAUUUUACUUUGUAUUUUCUUGUUUAUGGUUAAUGGUGUUUCUGCUCAAAAUGACACUUCUGUGGUUCGUCUUAACCCUAAUUUGUGGGUUCGUCAUGCACAAUAUAUGUUUAUGACCCAUGGCACAAAUAUUACUUUAUACUAUGAGCCCCCAAUGGCAUUUGGUCAAAUUUCUUUUACCCCUAACUUGAUCAUGUCUUCUACAUUUAUUGUCUCACAACUACAAUCUAUUUCACACUCCUGGCUAUUUUCUAAACCCCCUAUGCAAUUGAAUUCUGUCCGUUGGCGUUAUUUGAAAGUUAGUCAAUUUACAAGGGGUCUGUGUUUCUGUUGUCACGCUAAACAUACCUGGCUUUAUAAUUGGUCUGAUUAUGAUGCUGCUCAGCACAUAUUAAAACAACUAGGGAAUUAUAGUUAUUGUUCUAACUACUAUUGGUUGUCAGGUACCUUUAAUUCUUCUUUGUAUGGACUUAAUAUAGCUCCUGAUAUGUAUCCUGACAAUUUUCCUAUUUUUAAUGUGAUUCUUUUUUUGAUAAAUAUGCCACUAAUGUUCAUCCUCAGAAUUUUUCAUUCUUUGAAUAAAACUAUUGAGGAUGAGCUUGCCAAUUUACAAUCAUACAUUCAAAAUAAUAUCCAUGCUCAGUACUCACCUUUUGAGUGGCUAACCAAUUGGCUUCCUGAUUGGUCUUGGCUCAGACAGUUUUCCUUUUAUGCUAUAAUUAUUAUUGUAUUAAUUGUAACCUGUUGUUUUAUUCAUUGUAUUCCAAAUUUAUUUGCAUUGUUUUGUCCUGCUUUCCUCUCUCUUAAUCCUCUACAAUUGAGAUAUAUUCAUAAAUCUUUGAAUCCUCCAUUUAAAAUAAAAAAUGAGGAUAUGUAGAGUUGUAAUUGCAGGAACGCUCUUAUCUUGGAUGGCAAACCUCAGA
Long non-coding RNA from Notechis scutatus (mainland tiger snake), 1726 nucleotides. The record is from Ensembl. Lineage: Eukaryota; Metazoa; Chordata; Lepidosauria; Squamata; Elapidae.